This 358-nucleotide ribosomal RNA is filed under the name Vibrio parahaemolyticus. Its description in RNAcentral is "partial 23S ribosomal RNA". It matches the Rfam family "Bacterial large subunit ribosomal RNA", at positions 1396 to 1754 of the family's 2925-position model. The record is from RNAcentral. Lineage: Bacteria; Pseudomonadati; Pseudomonadota; Gammaproteobacteria; Vibrionales; Vibrionaceae.
GCGAGGCCGAAAGGCGUAGUCGAUGGGAAACGGGUUAAUAUUCCCGUACUUCUUACAAUUGCGAUGGGGGGACGGAGAAGGCUAGGUGGGCCUGGCGACGGUUGUCCAGGUUCAAGUGCGUAGGCUUAAGAGUUAGGUAAAUCCGGCUCUUUCUAAGGCUGAGACACGACGUCGAGCACCUACGGGUGUGAAGUCAUUGAUGCCAUGCUUCCAGGAAAAGCCUCUAAGCUUCAGAUUGUAAGGAAUCGUACCCCAAACCGACACAGGUGGUCGGGUAGAGAAUACCAAGGCGCUUGAGAGAACUCGGGUGAAGGAACUAGGCAAAAUGGUACCGUAACUUCGGGAGAAGGUACGCUCU